AACCCCCCCAGCAGUCUGGUGCCGCACGAAAAACAGGCCCCCUGAGCCGCGGCCAAACCACAGUCUACAGCCAUGGAACCAUCGAUAGUUUCUAUACUCUAGAUUGCUGUGAAAUCGAACCAAUGAAACGGAUUUUCAUCUACGCACAAGGAAAAAUCAAGCACCAGCAGAAGGUCAUCCAAGCGCAAUUUUUUACUAAAUCACCGGAGGUGCAAGCGAUAGUGCAGAGCUGCACCUGGAAAACUUCGGCAACAUAUGAAACCUAACCGGAAAGCGAUGAGAGAUAUGAUCGUGAUGUGGUGUACCACUUCCGGGACAACCCCCUCCCUUCGCUUCGUCACGGCUUUUGUACGAAAAUUUUGUAUAAGUCAUAACGCUCAAGUCUAUUUCACCCCCCCCCCCUCGAAAGUUACGCAAUAUGGGGACGGCACCUAAAUAAUUCUGAAUUCCGACUGAGAAUUAUUUUUAUUAUUGAGAUUAUUUUGAAUUUAAAGACUCGUUGCUUAAUACGUAAAUAAUAAAAGCAUGAAUUGAAAAAAGUUAA
Long non-coding RNA from Aedes aegypti (yellow fever mosquito), 544 nucleotides. RefSeq lists it as uncharacterized. Lineage: Eukaryota; Metazoa; Arthropoda; Insecta; Diptera; Culicidae. The record is from RefSeq and is a predicted model, not a curated record. The transcript is spliced from 2 exons.